UACGGGAGGCAGCAGUGGGGAAUAUUGCACAAUGGGCGAAAGCCUGAUGCAGCUAUGCCGCGUGUAUGAAGAAGGCCUUCGGGUUGUAAAGUACUUUCAGUCGUGAGGAAGGUGUUAAGGUUAAUAACCUUAGCAAUUGACGUUAGCGACAGAAGAAGCACCGGCUAACUCCGUGCCAGCAGCCGCGGUAAUACGGAGGGUGCGAGCGUUAAUCGGAAUUACUGGGCGUAAAGGGCACGCAGGCGGUUAAUUAAGUUGGAUGUGAAAUCCCCGGGCUUAACCUGGGAAUGGCAUUCAAGACUGGUUAGCUAGAGUCUUGUAGAGGGGGUAGAAUUCCAUGUGUAGCGGUGAAAUGCGUAGAGAUGUGGAGGAAUACCGGUGGCGAAGGCGGCCCCUGGGACAAAGGACUGACGCUCAUGUGCGAAAGCGUGGGGAGCAAAC
This 441-nucleotide ribosomal RNA is filed under the name uncultured bacterium. Its description in RNAcentral is "bacterial SSU rRNA". It matches the Rfam family "Bacterial small subunit ribosomal RNA", at positions 340 to 773 of the family's 1533-position model. The record is from RNAcentral.